CGCAUGUUCACAUGAUUAAGGUAUUCCGGUAGACGAUGGGGAUGCGUUCCAUUAGAUAGUAGGCGGGGUAACGGCCCACCUAGUCUUCGAUGGAUAGGGGUUCUGAGAGGAAGGUCCCCCACAUUGGAACUGAGACACGGUCCAAACUCCUACGGGAGGCAGCAGUGAGGAAUAUUGGUCAAUGGGCGAGAGCCUGAACCAGCCAAGUAGCGUGAAGGAUGACUGCCCUAUGGGUUGUAAACUUCUUUUAUAAAGGAAUAAAGUCGGGUAUGCAUACCCGUUUGCAUGUACUUUAUGAAUAAGGAUCGGCUAACUCCGUGCCAGCAGCCGCGGUAAUACGGAGGAUCCGAGCGUUAUCCGGAUCUAUUGGGUUUAAAGGGAGCGUAGAUGGAUGUUUAAGUCAGUUGUGAAAGUUUGCGGCUCAACCGUAAAAUUGCAGUUGAUACUGGAUAUCUUGAGUGCAGUUGAGGCAGGCGGAAUUCGUGGUGUAGCGGUGAAAUGCUUAGAUAUCACGAAGAACUCCGAUUGCGAA
Molecule: ribosomal RNA, 532 nt
Filed under: uncultured Bacteroidales bacterium
Lineage: Bacteria; Pseudomonadati; Bacteroidota; Bacteroidia; Bacteroidales
Description: bacterial SSU rRNA
Rfam family: Bacterial small subunit ribosomal RNA
Source: RNAcentral